Sus scrofa (pig) is the source of this 4723-nucleotide non-coding RNA. The record is from RefSeq and is a predicted model, not a curated record. NCBI's taxonomy places the organism in Eukaryota, Metazoa, Chordata, Mammalia, Artiodactyla, Suidae.
UUCGUUUCUGCUGCACCACAACGGGAACUCCUAGACUGAUUUUGUGACUUUGGCCAAGUCACUUCCCCUCUCUGUCCUGCAGGCUCUUUAUCUGCAUGACUGGAUGACUAUCUUCCUGGCAGGGCUGCUGUGAGGCCCAGGGCCAAGGUCAAAAGUCAUGUGGAAUGCAAAAGGCACUCAGCAAGGGCCAGUUUCCCUCUUCCCGGGGACCUGCCAGAGAGUCAAGGUACAGAUCGCUGGUUUUCAAAGAAAUGGCGAAAAGAAAAGACUGAGAAUUCUAGAGGAAAUGGCUGUGAAACACCUGGCACCAGCCCCAGCACCUCAUAGGCCCUCAAGAUGUGACAACUCUUCGUGUUAUGAUGCCAAUUAGAACCCUACUCUUAUCUAGUCUUUGGGGGCAGACUCUGAAGCUUCUCUGGGGUGACUCGGAGGAAAGCAAGUCUCUCUGGCCUGGUCCAAAGGGACUUAGUGAAGGACAUCCUGCAAGGACCUUGUUAGCAGGGGAGCCUUGUCCCCAGGGGCCCUGCAGUGAGCUCUGUUCCCCCUCCCCCUGCCCCUGCCCUGGGGACAUUGUCCUGUCUCCCUGCCCCACCCAGGGGCAUGUGCAGCCUGUUUUUACAGCUUUUUAUUGAGCUGAGCUGUGAGAAAAUGCCAGCUUGAUCCAUUUUUCUUUCUUGUUCUUGAGACACAUAUGGGCAAAAACGCUGGCUCAGCAGAUUGCUUCAAGUUCAGCAUCUCAUCAUUUAAAAGACCCUCUCUCUUCAAACAUAAUGUUAAUAAAAAUAACAACAAUAACAGUUACCAUGGAUGCCAAGUUCACUCUGGGAAGGCAUGGACAUGCACUAUUCUAUACAUCUCACCAGGGCCCUGCGACAGCUCGUAUUUUCUCUAAUUUCUGAUGUGACCCUUAAGUCCAAGUUUACAGGGCUCGGAGCGACAGGACUGGAAAGGCAAUCCAGGUUUUCAGUCUUCUAAACUCACACCUCCGCCUUCGAUUUAUCUGUUUGUUUGUCAUUUCUUUGCUGAUACUUUCUCCCUUCAAAAAAGAUGUGAGGCAAUGAGUGGCAAUACAAUCGGUGAAGAAGAACAAGAGCAACCAAGGAAAUCAGAGCCAGGACAACCUGAGACCGGAAAUAAGAUGUUUCUGCAAUGGCUUGGUGCCGUGUUCUAGAGACAGCAGAUUAGUCAAGUGUGGUCAUCAUGGCUUCAGUGGUUUCUGUCUGCUUGUUCUACCAACAACUGAAACAUCUGGGUUAAGAUCCUCCACUGUGAUUUCGGAUUUGUCCCUUUCCCUUUUUGGUCUUACCAGUUUUUGCUUGUUUUUGAAAUCCUGUUACAAGGUGAAUGCACACUUAAAAUUAUUGUGUUUCUCGUGGAAUGAUGUAUUUUAUCAUCAUGACAAGGAAUCUCUGGUAAUGGUUCCUCCUGUGACGUCUCCAUGGCUGAUACCAUAGUUUAGCCACAUUUGGAUGGCUUGCGUUUUUUUUUUUUUUUUCAUUUUUAUGCAAUCAGCUUUUCUGGGUCCUUAUAUUUAAGUUGUGUGUCUUGUAAGCAGCAUAUAUUUGGUGUUGCUAUUGUUUUAACCCUAGCUUGACAAUCAUCGUCUUUUUUUUUCCCUCCAGUUUUAUGGAGAUAAAAUUGACAUACAGCAUUGCCUAGGUUUAAGGGGAGGAGCCUAAUGAUCUGACUUAUAUUGUGAAAUGAUUACCACAGAAGAUUUACUGAACAACCAUUAUUUCAUAUAAAUACAAAAAGAAAAAAAAAGAACAAAUAUUUUUUCUUGUGAUGAGAACUCAGGGUUUAUUCUCUUAACUUCUUAAUAACAUACAGCCGUAAAAAUUAUAUUAAUCAUACUAUGCAUUACAUUUCUAGUAUUUAUUUAUCUUGCAACUAGAGGCUUGUACUUUUUGACUACUUGCAUCCAAUUCUCCUUCCCUCACCUUCCAUAAUCUUUUAAAUGCAAUAUUUAGUUCAUUCAUCUUUAAUGUGAUUACUCAUAUACUUAUACAUAGAUGUGCCAUCAUAUUAUUUAUUCUCCACUUUUCCUAUCUGUUCUAUGGCCUUCUAGCUUGACUUUUUCAACUUCUUUUUGAUUAGUCUUUUAUUAUUAAUUAAAUAAUAUUAUUAAAUAAUAACAUUAUUAUUACUAUUUUGUCAGUGUCUGUUAUUUUGUCAGUGUGCAUUCUUGUACUAUUUUUUGAGGAGUGGGUCUUAGCAAUUACAGUAAAUAUCUUUGUCUUAAUUAAAGCCUAAUAUAAGUUAGUGCUUUUACCAUUUGUGGACAAUAAAAUGAAAAUCUUUUAAUUUCAUUUAAAUGAAGUCUAAUUUUACCUUUUUGAAUUUACCUUAUUAUUGUCAAAUAUUUUGAUUAUACAUAUAUUUUAAACUCUAUAAGACAUCAUUGUUAUUAUUAUUUUAUACAAACUUCUUCUAGAUUUACCUAUGUAUUUAUCCCUUCCCAUUGCUUGUCUAUCCUUCCUGCAUUUCUGUGCAUUUUCCUGGGAUGAUAUUUCUCUUCCUUGCAAAAGCUUUUUUACUUUUUUUUUUUUUAAGUGCAAGUCUUCUGACAGCAAAUUCUCUGUUGUUAUUUAUCUGGCAAUGUCUUUAGUCAUUAUUUUUAAGGAUAUUUUCAAUGGGUAUAAGCUUAUAAUAAUUUUCUUCCAGUUAAUAUGUUAAUCCCAUUAUGGAUGUGUCCUCAAUAUGUUAGUCCAUUGUCUUCUGGUUUACACCAUUUCAGUUUCAUUUUGCUUUUUGAUGGGAAAGUGUCAUUUAACCUGCCUAAUUUUAUAAUCUCAUCUUUAGUUUUCAUCAGUUUUAUUGUGAUGUACCAAGGGUUUUCCUUGUAUUUAUCUUGCUUGAGAUUCUGGUGAUUCUUGAAUCUGUGGUUUGACAUUUUCAUCAGCAUUUAAAAAUAUUCAGUCCUUAUCUCCUUAAAGAUUACUCUGUCUCGUUCUUUCUCCUACCUUUGUAAGACUCCAAUUACAGGUAGGUUAGACAUUUUCACCAUUUUCUUUUCUUUUCUUUUUUUUAAAUGAGAGUUGCAAUGUUUAUUUCAGGUUUUUUCUCUCUCUUUUCCUUUUAUUUUACUGGCAGCAUGUGGAAGUUCCUUGGCCAGGAGUCCAACCUGUGCCACACAGCAGCAACCAGAGCCAUAGCAGUGAAAACACAGGGGCCUUAACCCAUCAGACUAUUAGCGAACUCCCCUUUUCACUAUUUUCAUAGGUAUAAGUUCUUUUUCUGUAUUCCAUUCUUCUAAGCUUUAUGAUUCAACCUGAUAUUUUUUAUUAACCCAUCUUUCAAGUCACUAUACAUUUCUUCAGCUGUGUCUAAUCUGGUGUUAAAACCAUCACUGAUUCUUAAUUUCAAUUAGUGUAUUUUUAAAUUCUAGAUUUUUUUCACUUGGCCCUCUUUCAAAGAUUCUAGUUCUCUGGUGAAUAUUUUCACAUUGUCAUUUACUUUCUUGAAUAUAUUAAUAUCAGUUUUUAAAGACCCCAUCUGGUAAUUCCCAUGUCUGGAUCACCUGUGGGUCUGUUUCUAGUACAUAUUUGUUCUCAUGGUCCUGUUAUUGGUGUGCUCAACAAAUUUUGAUUGAAUAGUAGAAAUAUUGUAUUGAAAAUCAUAGAGGCUGAAGAUGAGGUUAUUUUCCUCCAGAGAGGAUUUUCUUUAGCUUGUGGAAAGUCAUUAGGUAAUUCACUUUAAUGUAAUCAGAGAUCAAGCUAAUUCAAGGCUGAUUUUUAAUUUUUUACCAAGAUUACAGACUGGCCUAUUUCUAGUUCACUUUUAUUCCUAGGGUGUAGAUUGCUAUGAAUUCCAUCUGAAAGCCAAUGCGAAUUAGCUCAGGAAAAAAAUGUAGGUUAUAUCAGAUGAGCAUUAUUACUAUAGGAAGAUAGGAGUGCAUCUGAUCCUCAGGAACCACAGGAACCAGGGAGUUGAACUCUUGCUUCUCCACCUGACAUGUCUCUUUCCCCUGCUUUCUGUCUUUAGUCUCUCAGGUAGAGUGUGGCUGGGAACAUGGUUACCAGCAACUCCUAGGAGUGCAUUUCCAAGAUUUUCUACCACAGAAAGGCUAAGACUUGCUUUUUCUAAUCUCCAGGUCAAAAAUCUCAUGAAAGAGCUUGACUGGUUCAGUUUGGGUCAAUCAGUAUAGCCAGGUGGGAAGACUCCUGGGGAACACAGCCUGCUCUUCUAGACCUACAAGGCCAUGUGGAGAAAGAAAUAUUUCUCAAAAGAAUGAAGGGGGAUGAUUGGGCACAAAACUAUCGAUGUCUAGAGCAACUAUAGAUGUCUAGGCACCAUUUGAUAUUUCCCAGCUAGAUGUACUUCCCUGGAGGUGAAGUAAAAUGAAUUCCCUCUAGUUAAUACACUAUGAGUAUUGAAGGGUUUUCCCAGACUCCUAGCAAAAAGAAACUUCCCUGCAAUAUCUCUUGUGAUAACAACGGUAUUAAUAACUGCUAUCUAGAAGCAGCCCAACCCUGGGUCAGGAGAGCCAUUUACACAAAUCUCACAUGAACUUCUCUCAUCUUCUUGCAAAGAAGGUGUAACUAUUUCAAUUUUCCAAGAAGACCCAGAUUUAGAGGGACUUGAAGCUUAUAAAAUUACAACUAAAAAUUAGAUACAAAAAUGACGAUUUAUAUAGUGAAAGAAAAGCAACAACACGUCUUUUUAAGAGCUGACAGAUACCACAAAGAUCACGAAAGUUAGAAAUUUUACUUUACAUUUUUAA